RNAcentral lists this ribosomal RNA (358 nucleotides) under uncultured fungus. RNAcentral describes it as "LSU rRNA". It matches the Rfam family "Eukaryotic large subunit ribosomal RNA", at positions 320 to 667 of the family's 3401-position model. Lineage: Eukaryota; Fungi. The record is from RNAcentral.
AUAUAGGCGAGAGACCGAUAGCGAACAAGUACCGUGAGGGAAAGAUGAAAAGCACUUUGGAAAGAGAGUUAAACAGUACGUGAAAUUGUUGAAAGGGAAACGCUUGAAGUCAGUCGCGUUAGUUGAGACUCAGCCUUGCUUUUGCUUGGUGCAUUUCUUAGCUGACGGGUCAGCAUCAAUUUUGAUCAUUGGAGAAAGACCUUGGGAAUGUGGCACCUUCGGGUGUGUUAUAGCCCUUGGUUGUAUGCAAUGGUUGGGAUUGAGGACCGCAGUGCGCCUUUAUGGUCGGGGUUCGCCCUCGUUCGCACUUAGGAUGCUGGCAUAAUGGCUUUAAGCGACCCGUCUUGAAACACGGACC